AUUGAACGCUGGCGGCAGGCCUAACACAUGCAAGUCGAACGGUAACAGGAAACAGCUUGCUGUUUCGCUGACGAGUGGCGGACGGGUGAGUAAUGUCUGGGAAACUGCCUGAUGGAGGGGGAUAACUACUGGAAACGGUAGCUAAUACCGCAUAACGUCGCAAGACCAAAGAGGGGGACCCUCGGGCCUCUUGCCAUCGGAUGUGCCCAGAUGGGAUUAGCUUGUUGGUGGGGUAACGGCUCACCAAGGCGACGAUCCCUAGCUGGUCUGAGAGGAUGACCAGCAACACUGGAACUGAGACACGGUCCAGACUCCUACGGGAGGCAGCAGUGGGGAAUAUUGCACAAUGGGCGCAAGCCUGAUGCAGCCAUGCCGCGUGUAUGAAGAAGGCCUUCGGGUUGUAAAGUACUUUCAGCGGGGAGGAAGGGAGUAAAGUUAAUACCUUUGCUCAUUGACGUUACCCGCAGAAGAAGCACCGGCUAACUCCGUG
Molecule: ribosomal RNA, 490 nt
Filed under: uncultured bacterium
Lineage: Bacteria
Description: partial 16S ribosomal RNA
Rfam family: Bacterial small subunit ribosomal RNA
Source: RNAcentral